Long non-coding RNA from Homo sapiens (human), 4841 nucleotides. The record is from Ensembl. NCBI's taxonomy places the organism in Eukaryota, Metazoa, Chordata, Mammalia, Primates, Hominidae.
AUAUUCGCAAACUACAAAGAGGCGCAUGCAAAUAGAUACUGUACUGAGGGCAGAUACACGCGCGAGAUCCAGAGGCUCCCAGGCAGCUGUGAUGGUGGGGAGGCAGCUGCACAGUGAUGGCAGUGGCUGCCAGGCAGUCCCCCACAACCCUGAGAAAGGAAAAUUCUGCUCUCUGAAUCUGUAGAAAGAGGAGGAUGAGAGCGAGGGGCAGGAGGAAGAUGUGGAGAAGGAGAAAGAUGAAAGAAGAAGCCUUCAUAAAUACUGUAUGUGGCCCAUAAACCCUGAAGUAUUUAACAUCUGGUCCUUUACAGAAAACCUUUGCCAACCCCUGGUCCAAAGAAAUGGAAACACCUUGAUAGGAACAAUUUCAUAUGUUUUCUGUUUCUUUCUAGUGUUUUAAAUUCAUGUCACAAGGGAGCACCUAAUAAGGACCUGACUCACAGUGGACAUUAAAACAGUGAUUAUGUGAACUAAUUGGUGGAUAAAUCGUUGGCUCUCUGCUUCAAGCACAGCAAAACAAGUCAGCUUCUUGGAUAUCUUUUAUGGGAGAUAAUAUGGCUAUCCAAAUGUUCACCAAUCCCUCACUUAUGCCUUGUGCCCACUCAUGGGAGACAUAUAAUCUCAUGCCCCAGUGAUGUUGGGCUUUGACAUGUGACUUGCUUUGGCCAAGAGAAUGUAAUCAGAGAUAACAUAUGCCACAUUUUAUUAGAAGCUGUGAGAGAUAUUUUACAUUUCUAUCAGUCACCUUUAAUUUCUGCCCUCUGGAAUUUUAAAAGUAUGUUGUAGUUGUGGCUAAUAUUUCCACUUGGAUACUGCAAUAAGAAAACACAAAGAGACAGGCCAAGCACAAUAAGACCAACCAACCAAAUCCAGAAAUGCUCAGCCAAACUGAAGCUGACCCUCGGCAUUCAUGUGAUGGGUGAGAACUACAAGGUGUAAGCCUUUGAGAUUUUGUGGUUCUCUGGCUGAAAGAAAAGUUGAUUGAUAUCCUUCUAUAAAACAAAAGAUUCAGAAGGAUCUAAUGGAUUAGGUUUUAGUAUAUUAUUGCAAAUCAUAAUGAAUUCUUAGAUACAUAUUUUUUAACCAUAAUAGGAAGAAUAGCUAUUUAUACAACUCAUAUUUACAAGAUGAUUUCAUAUUUUUAGUUCAUUUUCUGCUGUGUAGAAAUGUAAUGGUUAUAAUAUGGUGCCCUUUCAUGCUCAUCAAGCACUCUUUUAUCUCACUAAUGAAGGGCAAAAGUGAUGGACAUAUGUUGUUACUAGAAUAAAAGGCCACCUUACACUCAAGAAAAUUAAUGUAUUACUGUGAUAACUUUGUUCUCUAUUAAAAAUGAAUCAUUCUUGAAUCAGAAUUUCUUUACUUUGGAAGUUAGUAUUUCACCCUUAUAUCAAUUUAACUUUGUAGAAAUAUGACUAGAAAUUAAAUGGCAUAAAAACUGAGAAACAAAUUUAUACAGAAAAGAUUUACAAUUUAUAAUGAGUUGUGCCAAGUAGGAAAUAUUUUAACCUCAUAAGGAUAAGUGUGAAAUCAAGAAAUUUGUAGUCAAAGGUGGUUCAUCCUAUAAAAAUAAAAAUAUAUAGGAGAAUACUGAUGAGAAAAGAAAAUUAAAAUAUCCAGAAAUUUUCAUGUAGCUUAUUUGAAGUCACAAAAUGUGACAAAAAUACCAUAAAAUAAAAUGUGUAAUUCAGGGCUCCAGAAAUGGCCAUGGUGCUGAUAGUUGACAGCUGUUGUUUUUGCCUUCCCAGCACUCUCCCACUUUUUAAUGUUAAGAGAAUUCUAAUUCUGUUUUGGGAAACAUCCUCUCCUCUUUCACUUCAGUAGCCCUAGUGCUAUAGUGUCAUUCCUCUUUUAAAUGUGGGCAAUGUGAGCCCAAUAAAUCAUAGUCUCAUAUGACCCUCACCACAGGCAUUUCUUUAGGACUGGCAUCUGAGCCAAGAGAGGAUACUCAGAGCAGACAGGAAUCUGAGGAGUGAAAGAAACUUUCUUCAGCUAUUAAAGUUGAGAGAAGAUAGCAGUAAGAUGGGAGCAGCCGGUGUACAUCUAGUCAGCAGAAAUGGCAAGCCAGCCUGAGAACUCCACUAACACAAAGGAAAGCAAAGCUCAGAGAAGGCAAGGGACAGACCAAGUUCUGAUGAUGCCAUAUAAUCCCACACCCUCCCAAACAGGAUACACCUGAUUUUUUAACCUUGUUUUCCUUUCUCUUGCAAUUUCAAUCCCUGAUAGAUACAGUGCUCCUGGGGGUGGUUGAGGCAUUUGAAGAUGAAUAUUUUACAAUUAGACUUUCCCUUCACGUCUGUAUUUCAGUAAACCCAUAAAUAACAUAUUUCAGAAGUGGUUGGAUUCUUGUGAUGUUUCUCAAUUUAAGUUUCAUUUUUGCAACCAUGUCCUCUAGAGGAAUUCCAGCAAAUGGCUGGCAGUGAAGUUUGGCAUGCAAACAUAUGAGGACUGUAUCUGAAAAUCUCCUUUGAAUAUUGAUUCAUCAGAUGAUUAAUCUCUAAUUUUUUAAUUAAAAAAAGCAGGCUAUAUUAUUAGUACAAAAAGAGUUUUUUUCAUUUUGUAAAUUUUUAUUUUGGGAAAAAAGUCAAACCUACAGAAAAGUUGGAGGAAUUUUACUACAGGCACAAUGCAACUUGUACCUAGAGAAAUUUAGACAUUAAAUUUUUCCCAAAAUUAUUUUCUUUCUCUAAAUACAUAUGCUUUUUUUUCUUUUGCUGAACAAUUUGAAAAUAAUUUGUAGGCAUUUCAUAACUUACCUGACAAAUAUGUUAGCAGGACUCUCCUAAGAAUAAAAACAUUCUUCUCUAUAACUUCUAUACCAAUGUUGCAUCUAAGAAAAUUAACUCUAAUUUUAAAAUAUCACCUAAUAUACUGUCCAUCUUCAAAAUUCCCUAAUUGUUCUAAAAUUGUCUUUUAGGAUCUUUUUGUAAAACUCCAGGAUCCAAUUGUGGUGUGUAAAUUGAAUUUGGUUAUGUCUCUUUAGUUUCUUUUAAUGUUGAACUGUCCCUUAUAUUUUUUCUCGUUAUAUUGAAUUGUUGACCAUUCUAGGCCUCUGGUCUUUUACAAUGUGUUCCUUUCUUGUUUUUUCUUAUGUAAAUUCAGUUUAAUAAUUUUGGCAAGAAUAGUACACAGUUGCUAUGUAUAUUUCUUGUUGUUUCACAUUAAGAACAUUAUAUCAAGUUGUCCUACCAUUGAUGAUUCAAAGUUUGGCUGCUAAAUCUCCGAAUUAUAAAGAAAAAUUCUUUUCUAUUAGUAAUUAAUAUUAUACUUGUGUGAUAUCUUGAAUAGGUAGGAAAGUCCAGUUUUCCAACAAUCCCCCACACAAUGGUUUUAGCAUUUGUUGAUAACGCUCAGAGAAGGCAAGGGACUGAACAAGUUCUGAUGAUGUGUUUUCGUUUUCGUUUGAAUAAAGUUCAUUUUUAGAAUUCAAUCAUUUUUUCCAUAUUUGUUAGAUGUCCUUUAUCUAUAAAGAUAAAGAAGACGUUACUUCCAUUCCUGCAUCUUCAUCAUACUCACACACAUAAUUAACCUUUUUCAUUAUUUUCUGUUUAUCUUUUCUGUGUGUGUGAUGUAUUACAUAUUAUACAUUUUAAAUAAUAUAUAAUAGAGAACAUUUAUUUGUACACAUACACACACACACAAAUUUCUUUUAUGCUCAUUCACAAAGAUACCACAGUAUGUACACUUUUUUGAGGCUUUUUUUUCACUUAACCAUGUAUCUUGGAAAUACUCCAUAUAAGUUAAUAGCUAGUUAUCUUUUUAUUGUUCUGUAAAUUAUUUAAUCUGUCUUCUAUAGAUGGGCAUUUCGUUUUUAUCCAAUAUUUUCUAUUUUAAUUAAUGCUGCAGUGAAUAAACUUUUGCAUAUAUUGUUUUGUUAUUUGCAGGAAGGUAUAUACAAGCAAAGUCUUAGAAAGAGGAUUUCUGGAUCAAAGUGUAAAUGCAUCGGCAGCUUUGUUAGAUAUUGCCACAUUGUGUUCAACAAGGGUUUUACCAUCAACAGUUAUGAGUGUCUGUUUUCCCAAAGCCUAGCCAAUAGUAUGUGUUUUCAAGGCACUGAUUUUCUGCUAAUCUGGUAGGUAAGAAAUAGCAUAAUGGUGUAGUUUUAAUUUGCAUUCCUAUUAUUGUCAGUGAGUUAGAGUGCCUUUUCAUAUGUUCAAGGACCAUUUUUAUAUACUUUCUCUAAACUCUUCAUUUUUCAUUUUCCCAUGUUAUUUUCACUUUAUUUUCAAUAACUCUUUUUAAAUGAAAGAUAUUAGCAUUUUAUUUUCUGUGAUGUAAGUUGCAAAUAUUUUUGUCCAGCCUGUCUUUCAAUUUUUCUGUUUUAGCAUGCAUUUUAAAAUUUUUAAUGAAGUUGAAUUUAUAAUUUUUAUAUAGCUACUUGAUAGUGAAUCAUAAUUAGAAAUGUCUCCACACACAUUAUAAAGAAAGCCAAGCAUGUUCCCGUUUAGACUGUUGAUCCAAGUAGAGUGUUUUCACGUUCUACUAGAUCAAUAAUGGAUCCAAUUUUUUUCUUUUCUAAAUGUCUAUCCAGUUUUCCAAACACUAUGUUUUAAAAAGACUAUAUUUUUUCCAGUAGCCUAAGAUACCAUAUAUAAUAUUUACUAAAUCUUCAUUUGUACUUAGGUCUAUUCUGAGCUUUCCAUACAAUUUUGUUAAUCUAUUAAUAUAUUCUUGAAUCUGUAUCAUGCCAUUUUGAUUAUAGAGACUCUAUAGUAUACUUUUUAAAAAUAGACUUUAUUUUUUAGGCCAGAUUAAGGUUCACAGCAGAAGUUACAGAGCUUUCCCAAAUACUCCCUACACCGACAGAUGCACAGCCUCCCUCAUUAUCAACAUCCCCCAUCAGA